AGUCUUAACAGAAAAAUAAGCUUAUAGUAUAAAAUACUACACGUUUAGGUUUAAACAAAUGGAUAUGGCAGAGCAAUAUGUAACAAUCCAAUAAUGCUUAUUUCUUUUUAUUUUAGUAAUUGAGUUUUGUUACAAGAUAGAUUCUGAAACAGUUUUACACACACACACUACUCAACCUUGCUUAGCAAGGCAAUCAAACAUGACUUAUUAGGAAAAGAAAAAAUUGAAACAAAAUUAAGAUGAAGCUUGCAUGUCUCAUCAUCAUCAUCUGCUGCUUAUGAAGUUGCAGGGACCAAGCGUCUGGAGCAAAUUGUGCAGUAGAAUUUCUUCUUAACUUUAUGAGAGAUUGGAAGAAAACAAAAUCUCAAAUGGGCAUCAAAAUCUAUUGCCAGCACAGGCCCUCCACAGUAUGGGCAAGCUGCAUCAGCUCCAUUUCUCCUAAUCACCUUUUCUCGCAGAUCGAAUAUUGACAACACACUCAUUUUUCUCUUUUUGUUGGGGGACGUUGUUGUAAGCAAUGCUUGUUCUCAAUAUAUUUUUGUAUGCACAUAAUAUAUACUUAAAGAUUUGGGCAUGCAACUUCUUUGGAGUUUCAUUUUUAAUGCUGUUUCUUAGCUGGGGCGCUAUUUUUUUUUUUAAUUUAGUUACAACUGUUAAAGAACUUGGUAUUUUUCUCGAACUGAUUGGUGAUGUUCACGUUUGGUGCGUUUAAAGCAAGAAAUGAAUCAAUUGAGAAGCUGCGAAGAAAUUGGUAUUGAAAGCAGCGAGGUUCGCUCCAGGUCAAAAAAAUGGUGCAUUGACGGUUUGACUUCUUGGACAUUUUAGCUGCGGUUUCUCACUGAGCCCGUGUUUUUAAUUACAAUAGAAGCUUUACACCCUGGAUUUUGAUGUAACUGAUGUAUUCAUUUGACGCACCGCACCAUAUUAUGUGAAAAGAAAGGAAUAAAAUCCUUUUUUUAUCUGAAUAUUAUUGAAUUUUUAAUGAUUUUUUAUUAUGUGUCUUUUAGUGAUAGUGUACGGAUAAGAUUUAAUUUCUUUUUACUUUUUUAUUUAUUAACAACCAGUCAGUGAUUGAGUUAUUUGCUCAUGACAUGAUCAAAUCAUAAAAAAAUCUUGAUCCAAAAAGAAAAUAGAUUAAAAUGUGCAACAUGUUUACAUCCUGCAUCACUUGGGAAGGUUGUAAGUCAUGAGCUCAUAAUUUGUGAUCCCCUUUGAGUCUAUUAGGAUUCUUUUCGGGUGGGCUUGGGCAGUACCAAAAGAAAGAAAUCCAAAGGGUAAAGGAGACAAUAUCUUGUUAGUGGAUCGGCCGUUACAUUAGAAUAGAUUGAGUUACAAGUGGGAUGAUGUUAUUCUUUUUUUUUUUAAUUAAUAUUAUUUAUUUUAGAAUUUCCCUUAUUACACAAUAAAUAUUUUUUCUCCUCCCUCAGGAUCUCAAUAGACUAACUGACCACGUCUUACAUCUCUCUUUCUUUUCUUUUUCUUUUUUUUAAAUUGAUUCGCAAUUUGAAUGAAAUGUUAACUCACAGUCAAAUCCCCAACUAAAAUUAAACAAAAUCUUAUAAAAUCACAAGAAGUAAGGUCAAUAUCAUUAAUAACAACAAAAUCCAUCACUUGUUCAUAAAAUUUAAUAAAACUCAAUAUUGAAACUCGUCAUAUGUUGAUGGAUUUAUGUACCUGUUGUCGAUGAAGAUAGAUCGUAGAGGUGAUAAUUAUACUAGAGAGAGAGAGAGAGAGACGGGGUGGGGAGAGACGGAAAAAAUAAAAUAAAAAUUAUUAUUUUUUAAUUAAGAAUGAUUCAGAAAUAUUAUAAAAUAAAUUAAAAAGUGGUGGCCGGUAAUAUCGUUUGAGAAGGUAAAAUAUUAUUACUCUUAUCUCUUGACUUGCCAUUGCUUGGUCUUUUUUUUUUUUUUCCUUCUUUCAAAAUGGACUUAUCGUUACAUUAGGAGAAAUUAAAGAGUCGGACGAUUGGCUCCUCCCUAAAAAUCCUAAUAAAACACCUUUUUCAAAAGAACCCCAUUAAUUAAACUAAAAGAAUUCAUUAUUUAUAACGAUACAUGCAUUCUUCCAAAAUUACCCUUAAUUUAAUCUCUUUAAAUUUGGCUUAUUUAUGUAUGAAUAUAUAUUUUUUGAAAUAAUUACUUCUUUAACAGAAAAAAUUACAAGAGACCUACCAUUUUGGAAGGGCAUCCUCCAACAUUUGAUCAAGGCCCCCGCUGCUAUAAUAGCCAUCACCAUCAUCUUAUUUUGCGCCUGUAAAAGCUUUACAAUCAGCAAUUAAACCGUAUAAACAAACAGUUGAGGUUUCAUUUUCAAUACCAUCCAUACGGAACAAGAUUCCCACAGCCUCAAAUACGAAUGGGGUUUUGGCCAAUUAGACUGAAUAGCUGCUGAGCAAAUAUGUAUAUAUAAACAUAAGGAUCAAAGUUGUGGUGUUGAAAAUGACCCAAGAUCCUUGCGUGUUCAUUAAAGGAUGCGUACUCGAAAGAGAUUGAAAUAGGGAUAGUUUUAGAAGAAGAUCAGUUUCCUCAUAAAUAAUGAAUUCUGUUUUAUCUGUUAAAGAGGUUCUUUCAUAAAGAGGGUUUUAUCAGGACUUUAUUGGGGUGUUGUUAGUAGCUCAACCCUAAAUUGAAUUAAUGGGCUGGCAAACCUAAAAGGUAUUUGACUAACCCCCUAAUCUCCUCAUGAAGCUCCAUUUUUAAUUAUAUUUAUUUUAUUUUUGAAAAUAAAUUUAAUUUUUAUUUAAUUUUUUUAUUGUUAAAACUUAAAAUAGUAUUGUAUUAUUUUUUUCAUUUCUUUUGUAAUCUUAUUGUUACUCGACAUACAAACUGAAAAGUUUUCUAGUUUAUGAAUUUUUGGAUGUUAAUUAUUAGCUUAAAUAGCACAUAUAUUUAGACUGUAGUUUGAAAGUAAUGUUAAGUACAAAAAUAUUUAAUUAAUAAGAAAUAGAAAAAAAAAAAAAAAAAAGCGAUUGAUCAUGAAUGUGAGUAUUUUGUUAAAAAAAAAAAAUUCCAUGUGUUGACUUCUUAUUUGUUCUUAACUAUAAUUUUAUUUGAAGUAGGGUUUUAUAAGAAUAAUGAAGGGGUGCCAAUAGCUUCACUCAAUGGUAUUUAUCCUACUCAACUUAUUUCACUAGCCCCACUAUCUAAUUUGUUUCUAAACCUACCCUGUAUCAAAAAAUAAAUAUAGUAGAAUCUCAUUAAAUUAAUAAUUGAUAGAUUGAUAACCUUGAUUAAAUAAUAGUUUUUCAAUUUUGACUUGGGAGCAAUGUGGUAAAUUAAUAAUUCGAUAAAUUUAUUAGAUAAUAAAAAAAUUUUUAAAAAUAUUAUCAAUUAAUUCAUAAAUUAAUAUUAACUAAUUUAAAACUAAAUGCAUAUUUAAUAUGUCUAUGAUUUUCUUUGUUGUACUAUUAUAAUGCUUUAUGCAUUUCAUCUGUCACAAUUGCUUUUUUUUUUUAUAUACUUUUCAAAUAAAAAGUCAUUGUUGUAUUCUAUAUGCUACGUCAAGAGAAAUAAGAGAGAUGGCUUAAUAUAUUGCCUUCAAAUGUCUUCUUUGAUGAGUUACCAUGUAGUUGUGAUCUAACCAUACAAUCUAACCAAAAGAUUAUCACAGGACUAGUUCACUCAAUCAAGAACAAAUAAAAACUAUAUUAUAUAACUUGACGAAAUCACUAUAUUCUCUAAUUAUACUACAUUUACACUUCAUAAAAACUCCUAUUAUGAAUUGUUAUUAUCUUUAUAAAUUAAUGGUUAUUAAUUUAUCAAUGUAUUAAUAUUUACUAAAUUAAUAUAUUUUAAAUGAUCCAAAAGCUGUUAAUUUAUCAAGGUCAUACUAUCAUGUGCUUUAUAUAUAUAUAUAUAUAUUUUUUCUCAAGUAUCACCAGCUAUUUAUUUCCAUUGUGGAAGUUUCGGUAACAGUGGUGGGAGAAGGUGGUUGGAAUUUGUGAAACUGUUUUUGUGUUUUUUGUUUUAAUGAAUUUUUAUUUUCUAAUAAAGAUAAUUAUAUAAAGGGAGAUUGCCAAUUUCCCCCCUACAGUAAUUAACAUAUACUAUUUACUCCCCUUCUUUUUUUAUAAUGGCCAAAAUUCCCACUGACAGUAUAAGUUUACAAUAUUAUCCUUAUUUUUAAUUACUCUUUUAUUUAUAUUUAUUAUAAAUUAAAUAAAUUACAUGAAUAGAAAUUAAAUAAAAAAUUAAGCAUUAAAAAAAUAUAUAUGUUUUGAUAUGAGAAAAAAAUUAAUAAUAAAUUUUUUUUCUUGUACUUAUUUAUUUUGUGAAAAUUUUCUUAUAAUAAAUGUAUAAGAAAGUUAUUAUAAAAUGAUUAAAAAAUUAUUAUAAGAAAAUUUGAAUGACAAAUAAAAAUUUAUUAUAAGAUAAAUAAUAAAAUAUUUUGCCUAUACUUUUUAAAUUUAAUUUUAAAAUAUUACAAAAUUUUUAUUAUAAAAAAUGUUCACAAAAUAAAUAAUUACAAGAAAAAAAACUUAUUAUUAAUUUUUUUGCUCAUAUCAAAACAUAUAUUUCUUGUUUUUAAUACUUAAUUUUUUUAUUUAGUUUCUAUUCAUGUAAUUUAUUUAAUUUAUAAUAAAUGUAAAUAAAAGAGUAAUUAAAAAUAAGGAUAAUAUUGCAAACUUAUGCUGUCAGGGGAGUUUUUGGCCAUUAUAAAAACAUCAGGGGAGUAAAUGAUAUAUGUUAAUUACUGUAGAGGAAAAAAUGGCAAUCCCCUUGUAUAAAUAACUGCAGUUAAUUGAAAAGUGGGGAUUAAUAAGAAAAAUUAAGAGAUUUAGAUAGCAUUGCUAUUUAAACAAAAAAAAAAAGAAAAAGAAAUUAAACAGAAAGAAGAAAUAAUUAACCAUCCCCGCUUUAAGUAUCCUUGAAUACCCUUGAAUAUCUUUCGCAUAUUUCGGGUUAAGUAUUUUACUUCACGUGAAAGUGUGAUUGGGCUUGGACAGAAAUCCAUUUUAAAUGCAAAUUACCCCUCUAAUUAAAUAAGAAGUGCUUCAGUACGCUCUUCAAAACAAAUAAUACCAUAAGCAAUUAAUUCUAAGCGUAUAUCAAAUCCACGGAAGCAGUAAUUCGCUAUGAACAUUCCCAACAUAAUUAAUUGGCUUCAAGUGACAAGCAUAAAGCCAGAAUCAGUGAUCAUUCUCGGAUAUACAAGAAAAGAAUGCCAUGUAAUGUACUGAUAAACACAUAAAUGUCAUGAUGAGGGUACGUCUACGGGGUUGUGGGCUUCAAUAUCCACGUGCCGUAUGCCAGGAACGAGGUCCUGGAUCUCCUUCUCUAGUCUAUCAACUUCAGUUCCUAAAGCUGUAACAACUUCCUCGCCUGCACCAAGAACUCGAUGUUUAAAACAUUCCAAGCACAAUUCAAGUUAUACAACAAACUGCAUGCAUACCAUAGUUUGACAUGAUUUUAAGCAAGGCUGCGUCGUCCUUCUCCUUUGCAGCUUCACGAAACUGUCAUCGGAGCCAGUCGGACAGAUAGAAAUAGUUAAUGAUAUUAACUUGUGAAGUAUGGCAUGUGUCAAUUCAACAAGGGAGUUGGAAGUAAAAUAUAUGCACGUAAUGAAUUUGUAAGCGUUAGGACUCGCAAAGUUAAUAGUUACCAAAACAUUGGACUGUAUCAGUUUCUAAUAUGCAUGUGAUACAUUUCAAAAUAAGAAUGUGAAGUAAUAUAAAGUACAGACUAAGAUGAUUAACCUGUUUGGCCCAAGCUUCACGUCCGGUUCUCUUUAGAUAAUUCUGUACAACCAUCACUCCGUUGAAAUCUGUUUCAAUUCAGCCAAACAUAAUCGUAUCAUAUUAAUACACCACUAAUGCCAAAUUAAUUCACAUUAAUGAAACUAAAUUUCAUGAGUGGCAUAGCUGAAUAAUGCCUGCUUCUUUCCACUUUCAAUACAUGAUUAAAAUGAUUUCUUAUCAUUACACAUAAAGUUUGCAUCUAUGUAGGCAAUUAAUCAUCACAAAUAUAUGCUGUGUACUCCAUAUUAUCUAUAUGAAUUUACAAAUGCCAAAGCAGCUCAUAUGGAUUGUAAACUAAGAAUAUUAUCAGAGAAAUUCACACCUCUUUACAGAAACAACAAGCUACUACUCUUGCAAAGAUUUCUACAAAAAUGUAGAUACCAAAUGUAACAGAGACGACAUGUUGUUGACAAUAAUCAGAUAUUGAUGUUGACAGAAAUUAACUCUCUGACAAAUCAGCAAAAGUACGAGCUAACACAGGGAAGAUUGGAAACAUUGACAGAUAUAUUGAUUUUAGAAGGAAAUUCAGGAAACGAAGUUCCAAGAAAAAUAAAAUUGCAGUAGGACAUGGCAAGAAAAAUCACCUAUCUCUGCCUUGAAUCUAAAGAAUCCCGGUCCAAUCACCUCGCUUUUGCAAUCAUAUAGAGCAUCUACAACCUGCCAAAAUUUUAGAUUUUCAAACAUGGGAAUAAUGCACAGAACAAAUGUAGUCGUAGACUUAUCUUACAUGAACAUACCGGAUCAUUUUUCAAGAAAUGGAGAAUCUUCUCCAUAUCAUGGUCAUCCAUAGCCCUACCAAUCAAAGCAUGACGAUUCCUUUGUAUUAGAAAUAUAGCCACCUGCAUAGGAGAUACAGUUCAUUACCUAUAACAAUAGUCAAAAUUUUAUUAGUUGUUCUCUUGUCAAUAUAAUAUACUAAACAGCGAUAAGAACAGUCAAAUCUGAUGACAGUUCCAAGAUAAGCCUGACCAUCAGAUAUUAUUGAUAAAAGAACAGUAAUUUCUGCAUGGCCAAUUCAUUAUUUAGAGCAUCAUUCAAAGUGCAGCAAGCAAUCUUGCUUUUGCCACUAUUCCUCCUCUUCUACUCUAACUAAUAAUACAAAACAAGCCAUUUUCAUAUUUUCAUAUUCAAAAUUUCUAAUUUUAAUAGCCAUUGGGGCUUAAAUUUACAAUUAAACAGAUUCCUUCAACCAGCUCUUUUAAUCACACUUAUCACUUUCUGUAACAAUCUUAGUUACCAUUUUUGGGAGCCUAUCUCCAAAUUCAAAUAAUCAGUAAAUGUAUAAAUUCCAUAUUCAUACAGAUAUAAUUUUUUUUUUUCAAAAAUGCAUUUUAUAUUUUAAAGUUUUUUCUUUCGAGUUACCAUGCAGCCACCUGAUCUCACCGUAAAUUAAACUAAAUCCCUCUCCAAAGUUGGUGUGAGUAGGAUUCAAACUUUUCACCUCUUCAUUUCACUAACAGGCCACGAGGCCAAACUAGCUGGAGUGUUCCCUUGAGGACUUCGUACAGAUCUAUUCAUGAGAUCAAUAAAAACUAAAAACAUAAAUGAGCAGUAGAAAACGGAAUUGAGAAACAAGGAUCCUGUUUCAGUAAGAUUUGAACUUAAAAGCAACCCAAGCUGCCAAUCUUUCUGUAGCUUGAAGCAGCAUGGCUGAAUGGUGAGGUACCAUAUGACAAAGCAUACAUAAGUCAUCAUAUAGCAUUCUCUAUUUUUGAAUUGUCAAUUCUUUGAAAUUGGGUACCUAUUUAAAGCUUGGAAGAAGUUGGUUGAAACUUAACAAAAGAACCCUUUCCUUUAAGGGUUGAUAAUACAUUUUCAGAAAGGUCCAAGAUGUCUCAGCUGAUGCCAUUUUCUCAUUGAUUUCUGAGUGACAGAACUAUAAUGCAUGUCUCAGAGAACCAAUUACUUUUAGAAAGUGCCUUUUCCUUGCUCCAAAUGGUAAAAUAAGAGCACAUUAGAAGUUCACAUGAUACAAUAAAACUUCUCUAUAGUAAUACUCUGUAUAAGAAUAACCUUCAUAUAGUCAUAAAAAAUUAUUAUCCCGAUUUGGGCCAGUUAUAAAAAAAAAUAAAGUCCACAUUGUAAUAAGUUACAAUUUUCUAAAUCCUAUUCUAAGGACAUUACCUCUAUAUAGUAAUAAUUAACUGAAUAUUCUAAAAAUAUAUAUACUAUACAACAUUAGAGGUUUUAGAUGGAAAAAAAAAAAAAAACUUUCUAAAGUUGUUAAGGGCAAUAUUUAUUUAGAUUCUUAAGAUUAUUUUGCAUAUUUUCCAGCAUUACAGAAAUUUUAUGUACUAGUAUUUUGAAAUUAUGUCUCCCUCUUUUAUCAAAGUCUAUAAAUUGGAUUUGACAUGCCCAUUAACUAUAUUAUCAAUAUAGUGUGUGUUUUACCUCUAUAUCACUUACACUAAGGAUAAAUGAGUCAAAAUAAUAAUUUUUGUAACUACACCUCUGUUAAGUUAUAACCUCAUAGUAAUAAAUUAGUUUGGUCCCAACAUUGCGACUACAAAGAGCUUUUACCGUACUAUCAUGUGGAGAUUUCCAACCUCGGGACUUUCUAAUGCAUGUAUAAGUGAAUUAAUUAUUUUGGAAAAAAAUAAUACCAUUCCAAGAAGGUUUCCAACUAUAAUUGAACCAAUUGGGUCAUAAAUUGCAUUUCCUGUGACAUUAACUGCAAUCAAUGAUGCUCCAGCUAUAACAAGGCCGGUAACUGCAGCACCAUCCUGCAUAACAGAAAUCAUUUAUUAGGGGUCCCAGACAAGGAGAAUAGUUGCAAUGUAUAUAUAGUAUCAGACAUAACUAGAGAACAAAUUAUCAGCAAUCAACCAAAAUAUAUUUUUUUUAAUUUGAAUUGCAAUAUGUAGUUAAUUGCAGUAAAGAUGAUUAGGGACAUACACGGCUAUACAAAGAUUCACAAACAAUGUGCACACACAUGGUAGGAGGAUGAAUUGUGUACAAUUGCUUAUCUAAACUAACAGUGAAGAAUACACAAUAAAUACCUCUGUCAUAACAGCAACAGAUGUAGGGUCAUGACCACGCCAGAUAUAGUCUCUUAUUGUCAUACCUUCUGCAGCUGCUCCUUUCUUGACAGCUUGUAUCGCAACAACAAGAGAAGCACCUGUAGGAAAGUAUAACGAACUUAAAUCAGGAAAAGACGAAGAUCAAAAGGUAAAAACUAGCCUCUUCAGACCAUGUUGUUAACCUAAAAUCACAGUCUGUGAGCUAUACCUUCAAUGAUAAAUGAACCACAAAUCACCAAAGCUGCAUAUUUCAUAUUUUCAGGAGCCUGUAGAAAAAACACGCAAAACUAUAUAAAUAUGCGUAUGUUAAGGUACCACAGAAUAUUUAGAAUUUUGGAUGACAUAAUUUGUUUCAUUACCUCUGCAGUCCACAAGUGUUGAAUUCCAUUGACAAUUGUAGCACCAGAACCAAGACAAAAGAUCCCGACAGCUGAUAUCAAAGACCAAACAAAUCGUUCCUUGGAAUAGCCAUAACUGUACAAUUGGGGGGAAAAAAAAGUAAAUCAAUUCAGUGCAUUCUUAUAACAAAAAUAACACCUACGUCUUCACUCUAAACAUGAAUGAAAAUUUCUGUCUCCAUGGAGUAAAGUUUAAAAAAUAGAAAGCACUAGUGUCCUUUGGCUAACGUACUCAAAAAAAAAAAAAACAAAUUGCAAAACAUAUGUAGCCUGAAAUCCAGAAACAAAUUUAUACAUGAGAUGAAGUGCUGAAAGAUUGAAAAACAAGGAAAAUGCAGGCGAUUUAUUGUAAAUGAUGAUGGCUUAUGAUGUAGAAAACUUACGGAUGAAGAGCAUCAGGUGCACGCCUGGAGCUACUCAGACCAUAAGCUAGAAGCACCUGCAAUUUUAAUAAGAAUUAUUUUCUCUGCAAUGAGUAAUAUAUGAGUUGAUUUAAUUUAAAGGAAGAAAGAAAACACGUGCAUCUGCUAGCCUCGUUCCGAAGAACCUUCAAGACAAGUACCUGAUUAGCAAAGUCCGCAACCGAAUGCACAACUUCAGCCAGCAUAACAUGGCUAGAGGUCCCUAGCCAGACCCCAAACUUGAGAGAGAAGACAAGGAAAUUGCCCCACAAUGCAGUCGUAACCGCUCUUUGACUAUAUACAGAUUUGAGGAGACGAUAAUAGCAAGAAACAAAUCAGAUAAGUUUUAAGGAAAAAAAGAGGACAAAUAUAACAGUAUUCAGCACAUUCAUGUUAGUAAUACAUGGCAGUAAAAUAUAAUACAGGAUAGCAAAAGAGAAGCACCAGCCAUCUUGUGUAUACAACCAGAUCAGAUUGAUCAUAACCAUGUUCAAUGUUAGUAAUUUAUUUCUUCUUGCAAUUAUUAGGAUGGUCUUUUUUCCAGUUAGUUUCUUUAAAUAAAUAUAUCAUUUCAAUCGGUCAUUGUCUGGUAGACAAACAAUACCAAAGAUUAAAUUAUUGUUUAAGUUCUCAACUAAACCUGUUUAUCCUCUUAUCACCUAUUUCCCAGUAACAUAACAAACACAGGAAUACUUACAAACAACCAAAUUUACUCUAAUAGUAUUUGAACCAUGAUGUUCUAUGGCAUAACAAGAUUAAACAGUGAUGCAUAAAAAAGGCACGGACUAAGCAUCAGCAUCCACAGAAAUUGACAUUAUCAACACUUGUUGGUACAAGCACAGGUUCCAAUUCUUGUCAGAGUGCAUGCAUCUCAAAUCAAUUGGCUAAAGAUUAAUCAGAAAACUAAACAAUAGGAGGAUCCCAAUCCCUUCUUUUCCCAUGCUAGAGUUGUAAAAGAUGCAUUUUUCAAGUCUUAUUCAACUAUAAAAAUGCCCACCAGAUGCAUUUUCCAAGUCUCAUUCAACUAUAAAAAUGCCCGCCUUUUACCAAAUUAGGAAUGAAAGCAGGCUCUAUCAAAUGCCUCGUUCUUCAAGAUACUAUUUGAUUGGAAAAAUUCCUCAAACACACAUUUCCUACAGUUCUACCAGCAUUUUUAUUGUGAAGAAUAACGUCAUUAACAAAGACACUCGGUACUGUUCCUAUUGCAGAAUGCAUCCAUGAAGAGAACUUUUUCUUUCUUUAGACGAAUACCACUUUUACAAGGUUGUUUACACAGUAAUGUGCUGAAUGAUUUGCAUCUAUAAUGUUAGUUGUCACAACAUUCUAUCUAGAUGAUUGCAACAAAUCAAUUGCCAAUUGAUAAAAAGGUCAAUAGAAAAGUAGUUUAUCAGACUCCUUUGCCAAAUUAACAAAUGUGCCUAUUACUCUUAUCUCCCUCCUUUUUUUCUCUUCAUAUUUGAACGUUAAACAUUAUCAUGCUUCUGAGAAUUUCAUUUCCAAAAGGAAAAAGUUUAAAAUAAAUAAAUAAAUAAAAAAACUUAUCAUCACUCAUUUCAACUACAUUUACCAUGUCCAUACUUGUUUCCCAAUUAUAACCAAUUAGCGCACUUCAUAAACCUGAGUGCUACUAACGCCACCACAACAUUGAAACACACUGGAGCUUAAAUAUCAUUCUACAAUCCUUUAACUAUCAACGUGGACUUUUGAAAGAGUGGGAAAUCAAUCAUCUCAUAACACCCAAUACUAUUGCCAAAUUAUAAAUUUAUGCCCGUAUUCACAAAAAAGGAAAAUAAAUGCUCGAAGAAACAACACAUUUAGGCGACAGCUUCAAAAAUUUUACCUGUGUUCAUCUGUAGUCUCAAUCUUCUUCACCUGCUUUGCCCUCGUAAAAAAAUCUAUAAUAAUUAAAAAAAAAAAAGCACACAUACACACACAAACACACACACAAAGUUAGGCCCCAAUUCACAUUUAAAUCCCAAAAGAAAACAAACAGGCAAAAACAAAAUACUUACUGCGAUUAGAGGAGUACUUAUGAUGUUGAUUACUACCGCUAUUGUCAAAAGAAACCAAACCCAGUAGAACGAAACGUUUCGAGCAAUGAACCGAGCAAAAACCUCGAAACUGAUUAGUAUGCUCUAAAAUGCUAAAGAAUUUUCCAUUGUUAUCAUUUAUAAAUACAUUAAAGGGAGAAGAAGGGUUUAAAACGGCAGUGCGUUUAGAGGAGUGGAGGAGGCGAGAGAGGAAACGCCAAGAUGUUCGCAUCAAAUCUAAAUCUUUUCUUUCUUUCUUUUUUUUGGCUUAAUUAAGAGAAAUUCUGAUAUUGUUCUAAAUUCCCCCAAAAUGUUCGAGAUGUUAAGUACCCACAUUCAUAUCGAGGGUUGAAAUGGAGUUGGUAUAAAGAAAGCUCAAAGAUGAAAGGGAUUCUUGACUUGAUAGCAGUAGCAGCAGCAGCAGCAGCAUAUUCCGUCUUCUAAAGAAGAAAAGAAGGUGACUGUCUGCGACUGAAUAUUGGGAAUGAGAAAGUAAAGCAGGGACAGUGGCAGCGGGUGGUGGAUGCAAAAAUUUAGCCCAAGUUAUUUUUGUAGCCCAAAUAGCCAAUUCACUUUUUUGGACUACGGGCUAAAUAAAAUUUACCCAAAUCAUAUAUAUUUUCUAAAUUUAUGUAAGAUUUCAAUAGAAUAUAAACAAAUUUUCUAAUCUCAAUAUUUAAUUAAUUAGGGUCAUUAAUCCAUAGAUUUCUUCAACUCCAAGUAAGAAGUACUUGUACCUUUUAGGCUUUUAGCUCAAUUCUUCAUAAUCGCUAGUAGGGACUAAAAUAUUAAAUUAUAAUCCUCGGAAGCUUAGGAUGGAUAAACCAAACAGUACUCUUCUCAACCGGUAGCAAACUAACCCUAAUUAAAUCACAUUUUUAUUUAUCUGAGGUAAUAGAAUUGUCUGGUAGGAAUUUAUGACGUGCAGUUUCGUUUUAAAACAACUACCUAAUUGUUUGUCAUUUUUGCAAACUAAAUACACACAUGAAUGAGGUGACAUAUAAGAUAUCCAAUAAAAAAAUUUAUAGUUCUUUUACAAAAUAAUAAUAAUAAUAAUAAAUAAUAAUAAUAAUAAUAAUAAUAAUAAUAAUAAUAAUAAUAAUAAUAAUAAUAAUAAUAAUAAUAAUAAUAAUAAUAAUAAUAAUAAUAAUAAUAAUAAUAAUAAUAAUAAUAAUAAUAAUAAUAAUAAUAAUAAUAAUAAUAAUAAUAAUAAUAAUAAUAAUAAUAAUAAUAAUAAUAAUAAUAAUAAUAAUAAUAAUAAUAAUAAUAAUAAUAAUAAUAAUAAUAAUAAUAAUAAUAAUAAUAAUAAUAAUAAUAAUAAUAAUAAUAAUAAUAAUAAUAAUAAUAAUAAUAAUAAUAAUAAUAAUAAUAAUAAUAAUAAUAAUAAUAAUAAUAAUAAUAAUAAUAAUAAUAAUAAUAAUAAUAAUAAUAAUAAUAAUAAUAAUAAUAAUAAUAAUAAUAAUAAUAAUAAUAAUAAUAAUAAUAAUAAUAAUAAUAAUAAUAAUAAUAAUAAUAAUAAUAAUAAUAAUAAUAAUAAUAAUAAUAAUAAUAAUAAGAGUAAUUAUUAAGAGUGGUGAUAUUUGACCUCCUCAAUUUAUCUCAUCAGUCCUCAUUUUUCAAUUAAUAUUAUUUAUUUUAUAAUUGGCCUUACUAAAAAAAAUAUCUAUUAUUUCUUCUCUCAAGUUCUCCAUUGAUUCACAAUUUGAAUCAAACGCUAACUCAUAAUCAAAUCCCAAAUAGAAAAUUAAACAAAAUCUUAAAUUUCUAUACAAAAUCAUAACCAAUAUUAGUAAUAAUAACAAAACCUACCACUUAUUCAUAAAUUUUAAUAAAAUCCAAUGAUGAAACUCAUCGUAUACUAGUAAAGGUGAUGUAUUAAUAGUGAAGAAGGUAGGCGGUGAUGGCAACUUCUUGUUGAUCAAGUGUUGGGGGUGAUGGACCGAUGGUUAUGCACUUAUACUAGAGAAGGACGGGGUUUGGGGGGAGGUAGAGAGAGAAUAAAAUAAAAUAAUAACUUUGAUUUAUUAAGGAUAAUUUUAAAAAGUAAUAAGAUAAAUUGAAAAGUGGAGGUUAAUCAGAUAAUUUGAAACGCUCAAAUAUAUUCACUUGAUAUUAAUAACUUUCUCAAAAUAAAGGAUGGUAGAAAAAUUCAGUCCGAACUUUAGUAUUUCGGGCCGGAUUUGGCCUCAUAACUCGAGCAUGUUUUCUUAACACUAGAUUCGAGCUUGAACUUUACCUAAACAACCCAACCAUGGCCCGAAGGCUGAAGAAAUUCUUAAAAAAUUAUUUUAAUUACAAUACACCUUUUAAAAUAUAUUUAACCCAUCUAUAUAGCAUAUAUUUUAAGUACUUUAAUCCCAAUUUUUAAAACCUAAUCUAACAAAAAGAAAAAUUUUUAUAAACUGUAAGUUUGUAAAAUUUAAUUAAAAAAAUAGAAAAAAAAGUAGAAUAUAAAUUUCGGACUUUUUAGCUCGAUGCAAAGAAAAUCCAAUUUGAAUCGAGGUCGACCUGACAUGGCUGCCAUCCCUACUCAAAAUCCUAAAUGCUCCAAUUUCCAUACCGCAGUCUCCAUUUAACCUCGUUUAUCUUCUUAUUCAUUCGUGUUAGAUAUGUGAAGAAACCCCAAGGCAAGGGCCGUCCAGGACCAAAACCGCUGCCUAUAUUACGAGGCAACCUGCACUAGUUGACUGAUGGGUUAACCAGUUACCACAUCAUGUGUUCUUAUAAAAUUAAUCAACCAAUAUGGUCCUAUCAUUUAACCAACAGCUUGUAAACAUGUGAGAUUAGCGAAAUAUGAAAUAAAAGCUAACGCCAAAAUCAUCACCAAUGAUUAUGCAAUGGGGGGAGAAUCCUGAAUGUUUUAAAAAUCAGAGCAUUUCGAAGGUUCUUUUAUUUUCUAUUGCCUUUAAAAAGGCAACCACUUUGAGAUGCGUCCAUGUGGCUCAGGAAGAAGGAUAUGUCCUGGGAUAUCAUUUGCUAGCGCAAGUAUCGAGCUUGUCCCUGCUCAUUUGUGUCAUUUCCAGGCAAGAUUGAACCUAAAGAGCUUGAUAUGAUAGCGAACAACGGGGACCAAAAAUCUGCUUGCUAUUGCUACGCCUCGCAAUAUCAGUAAUAAGACCAAAGAUAAACUUUACAACACUGCAUUAUCAGAAAACUAGAAUGGUAAACCAUGUAUCAUUAAUUCAAGCUUUAGCAGUGACUUGCAAGGAGGUGAUGAAAAAGCUCAAGGCAUCUCAAAUAUUCUUAACAAAAAGUUACAGAUUGGUAUCACCUCGCUGUUUAAUAACAGGUUGGGUCAGAACUCAAAACCCAUAUUCCUGUGAAAUAAUAAUAACAGUUGGCAAUAUCUAUAUACUCUAUGCUACAUAUCAAUCACCUUAAGUUCUAUUCAACAUUUUUAUCAUAGGGUACAACAUUUCCUAUCAGCUGAAGCAGAGAGAAUCUGUUAAAGUCGCAUAGUUUGCCGAAAAGGGAACAGCAGAAUUCAUCAGGCUCUGGAUCUGAUUUCGAGUACACCAACUUUCUAACUCUCUCUGGCUCUUCAUCUGAUCAGAGCCUGGAAUUAUCAAAUUUGUUCAACCAAAAAUAGAUAACAGCUAAUGAAUCCUGAUAUCAUCAAUGAAUCGACCUCCCUUUCUACCACGUAACCUGAUAUUUGGUCUAUGCUGGCCAUCCGAUCUCCCAGAGAUCUCUCCAUCAUGUUGGGUCACAAUUUUUAAUGGGUGGGCUUCUGUAUUGAAAACCCACUCAUCUAAUGAGAUCACUGUUGUGGGAGAGAAAAGAAGAUACAGAUAUUUCAGUGUCUCUGCAAGAAAGAAGCUUUGCAUCAUGUUGUCUUUGUCGCCAGUAUUAACCUGAGAAAACACAACAAUCAUUCAUAAAUAAAUAAGAGCACAUUAGCAGUAUAAAUAAGAGCACAUUAACAAAUCCACCGGCAAGGAUAGAUAUGCAGAAGAAAUAGAAAAAUAUACAACAGAAGAUUGAAUAACCAAAACAUUUAAAAACAUUUUCACCGUUUUUUACCAAAUGUUGGCUCAUAAAUGACCUUAUAGAUUGUCCCAAGAUUUAGCUAAGUGUCUGCCAAUGGCAAUUGCUUUUGUGUAUAGUUAGCAGACUAUGCUCACUAAUGCAAACAACUAUUUAAAACAAAAGAUCAAACAUUCUUUACUACUGAGGUUUAACCGUCAAAGAUACUAAGAGAAGUGCAUUUUCUAAAAAAGCAUCCCUAAGUUUUGUAUCACGUCAGCUUUUUCAUGAAAACAUACUGAAGCAUAUUUAUAGAAAAAUAUCUUAUUUAAUGUUGGAGGUUUGAGGUGUCCUUACAUCUUUCAGUCCAACAUAUCCUGAUUCUAUUCGCGAGUUCUUUUCGAAUGCCUGAAAUAUGUUCCAACCCCACUCUUUGUAUGUCUUGUUGCCAGUUAGACGCCACAAGUAAAAAAGUGAUUCAACAGUCUCAGGUCGCAGUAUGUUCCAUGAUGUGCCCACAGACAUGUCCUGAAAAUGUAACAAAUGAACACUGGUAAACAGCAGUACCUUAAAAAUUGAAAAUUCAUUUGAUAAUACAAAAACUACAAACCUGCCCAUCACGAAAGAAGUAAUUCUCUCCAGCCAAUUUUGUCGGUGUUGACUGGUAGAAGUUAUAACAUGUCCAAGCAAGCUGCAAAAAAAGACAGAAACAUCCAGUGAAAAACCCAUCUCACAUCAUCCUUGGUUUUGAUAUGGGAAAGAAGGAACAUGCACUAGAAGCUAAUGAAUGGUUAGGUCAGCAAUCCAAAUUAAAUUACAUUUCAAAUUAAAAAUUUUGGUUCUGGUUUAUUCCUUUAACUAGUGGCCUACUAGGAAAAGAAAAGAUUAACCAAGUAUGAGAUUCAUACAAAACCAUCUCGGUCUUAUACCCCAAACAAAUCAGAUCAUCUCCCAACUUCCAUAUGUAUCUGGUAAAUCUUGCAUUCAAUCAGAGAUUUGUUAAUAUUUUUCUCUUUCCUCCUCAACCCAAAUUAAAAAUCUCUCCUUGGAAUUGAACACUUGACCUUUUGCUUCCCAUGUCAGAGGCCAAACCAAUCGGCAAUAAGAGACAUACACCAACAGACACACAUAUUUUAUGUCCUUCUAUCAUUUUUUUAUUAAGAAACAGAAACUUGAAUUAUAUUCUAAACAAUGUGAGGUUUACAAAAAAGUGAACAAGCAGUCAAAAAAACCAGGAUCAGCCUGGCAGAACCUCAAAAUCUAUUUACAAAGAACCUUUCCACUCAAGCCAAAGAUAAAACACUCUUGACUAUAAAAAUCAAGACGAUAUUCGACUUAGCCCAAAACACUUCCCAAUUUGAACUUAUGUAAAAGAAAAACGGGUCCUAAAAUUCUUGUCCGUGAUGCCCAAAGAAAAAAAGCACCCUAAAUUAUUGCCUUAUCCCAUAAAACAGUUAACCAUCUUCCCCAGCCAAGCUUUCAAAAUCAUCUUUUUUCCCCCGUGUUUCUAGAAAUUCCUUUGACUUCAAUAACCUAUCAGUCUUAGUAGACAAUUUGGUACCCCAGAUGCUUCGUCCAAACAAAAUUCAGGUAUUUAUGAUCAGAACUUCAUUCAAUUUUGAAAAUCUUCCCUAGAGCUUUCAAAAAUUUGUCCAUUUCUUUCUUGAAAUUCCUUUGAAAUGUUUAACAACCUAUCAGUUUCAAAGUCAUGGGUAAUUUGGUAAUCCCAGAUGAUUCUUGCCAAACAAAAUUCAUAUAUAUGUGAUCGAAACUUCAUUCAAUUUCAAAAAUCAUGUCAUACGGUAACUUAAAAGGGUACCUUAAAAUUGGAGGUGAAGACAUUGCAUUAUUCAUCACAACUUAUAUGAGUUCACAAAACAAUGUUCUUUUUUCUUGUUCUUGCACAAAAUUUGGGUAUUAAGAUAUUUUCCGAAGUGAGACAGAAGGAAUACCUCUUCUGCAAGAGAGAGAAAUUUCUCAGAAUCACCGGGUCCAUAACCAGAAGAUCCUAAAGCAAUCAUUCCAGGAGCAAAGCAUGCUAAUUCAUCCAUCUGCAUAGGCAUGGUGUCAAAAUAGCCAUCAAUAUCUAGCAAUUACUAAUGCAUCCCUACAGUAGUGUAACUGAGUAUUACCUUGUCUAUCAGCGAGUCCCCAUUCUUCUCACAAACGUAUGUAAAAGACGAUGGUGUUGAUUUCCUAACCAAGCUUAAUAGACCUUUCAUUGAUGUCUCCCACAUGUCCCUGCUUGAAAGAUUCCACAACAAAACUUUGACAUCAAGAAAUUUAUGAGCACAGACACCUGGAUACUAGAGAGAGAAAAAGGUUGAGUCUUGACCAGAGCACGAUUGCAGACACUUUAAAUAUUAAAACAUGAUAUCCAUCCUGCAUUAGUUGUCAUUUGUUCUUCUUUUUUUUCAGUCCCAGUAAUUUUCCACACUGAAAUGUGAAUUCUACCAGACUCAUUAUCCUAAACGUGUACCAUUGUAAAGAUUUUUUUUUUAACAUUUCAGAAUUAGAAAGUGGUAGCUACUAUUGGAAAAAUAAAAGUAUAUUGUAAUGCAUUUGUAACUGACUCCUUAAUUUGUUGGCUUUAUCUGAGAAGACAGCUAAAGUGUAUGGAGCUGAAUAUAUAUUCCUUUUCACCAAAAUCCCAGUGAAAAUAGAAUCAUUUAAUAUUUAAUCACAUUGACCAGUCCAGCCCCCAUCACAUCUAAAUUUUACAGUAGCAUGUUUGUCUUUGGCUUUCACAUAAGAAAAUAAACUGCAAACAGCAAGCAGCAGUGGUUGAGUGGUUGCAGAUCUGAAUGCAGAUACAUAUGAGAACAAAAUCUCCUCACCUAUAAGGCUUCACUGCUGAAGUUUUAUUCCCCUGAAUCCAAACUUUGAGUAAAUAUUCAUAAAAGCUGCAAUAAAAUUUCAUUGUUAACCAAAAACUCUUAACAAUCUUGCAAAAUUAUACUCCUUUACUGACCUUAAGAAGUGAAACUAGAAAGUAAAAGAGGUUAAAUCAUAGAUGAUGAAAUGUUAAACCCAACUAAGAUCACAUAAAUGAUAGUAAAUGUUCAAGCGGAGAAUACCUAUCACCCAUGGCACCAAAGGUUAUGGUCGAGUAUGAUGGAGUUCCCCUGUCAGGACUAAUAUAGAUGGGAAGCAGGCCAUCGGCAGGGAAUGUUUUAUUAAGCUCCACUAUUACUUUCUCAGCCUGAAACAUCAGUUUGCAACCAUCAACAGGAUCCAUUCACCCGAACAAAUCAUUCUUCAGAAAGAGAAGUGAACUAUUGACUGAUUACUCCCUGAACACUUUUGGUCUUCAAACUAACCUCUUAGUGCAUACGAAUAUGAAUAAUUAGCACUAAUUUGUAAGAUGUCAAACAUUAAGUGGCAAGUUCAAACACAAGAAUGAUGAAUAACAUAUUUCCACAUGCAUAAACACAAGAAGAUAAAAUACCUUCUGCCGAUACUUUGGGUCACCCGUCCUUUGUGAAAGAGCAAUCAAUUCUAGUUGUUCUGUACCAGAAUCUGCCAGAAUGCUCUCACCCUAUGAAAUGGGAAAUGACAGAAGAGCAAUCAAAUCAAAGAUACAUUCGUUAACAAAUGUGUGGGACAAAAGACCCAGCACAGCUCAAUAAGACACACAUGAGCUAUCACAAAGGAUAAAACAAUCUACUAAGAGACUAGUGUAAACUAUGUUAUGCAUGAUAAUGGAACAGGUUUACAACAAGAGUCCGUGGCAUUUACUUUUAGCAGUUAACUGUCAAAGCAACAGAAAAUGCUGAAAGAAUAGAUGGAAGAAACUUUUUGAAGAAAGACAGAAAGCUGUAAACUUGAGAAGAACCACAUUUAUUUUAAGCCAACCAAAUACCUGCUGAUCUAACAGCAGGCCAGGAGCUUCUGUUGGGAUAAAGGGAAACGUAAAUAAAAAGAGCAUAAUCAACUUAAAGGAUGCCAUGAAAUGUGACGAAUCAAGUUUAAAUAGUACAAAUAAAGUGAACGCUAGAAGUUAAAGCUAACAACUUACCCCUGUCCAUGAAGGGUUAUGUGGAUUUCCAUGUGCUAAGUUAAUAACAUUAUAGGGAAUUCCAGUGCGAGUAUUCCAUGCUGGCAACAAUCUAUCUGCAAUAUCUCUAGCUUUUUCAAGAAAAACUUUGUCUCCUGAAAGGUCAUAUGCACUAAGAAGUCCACCUACAACUCUAAAAUAUCAAAAAAGAAACAAGUCAGCAAAGGAACAUUACUUGUCCUUUCCCCAAGCAAUUAUAAAGAAAAGAAAACAGCAAUUGCCACUGACACUUGUUUCACAAAAUAAAAUCAACCAUGAAUUAAACCUGAUAACGCAACCUUAUGGUUGUCUCGAAAACACUAGCAUCAUAUGACUUGUUGAAAUCCAACGAGCUUGCAACCCACCUGCAAAAGAAUGGCAUUAAAAAAAUUAGAUAAGUGAGACUCAAAAUCUUGUGCUAAAGAAUGUGGAGGUUUUGAGUCCUCUUCAAGGCAUAAUAUUGAGAAUGCUCAUUCAAAUAUCACCAACCAUUGGUAUCCGGGAGACACAUUUAAUACUACAUAAACAUUAAGAGAUGAUGAAAAAACAGGGAGAAUUAUGCAUGGAGAAAGUGAGGGCAAAAAGAGAAUGAAAGAAAAGUGCCAGUAGGUCAAAUGAGGUUUGGAGUCGUGACACAAACUACAAAGCUAGAAAUACAAUAUAGGAAACACAUGAAGAAUAAUAUCUUCAAGCAUUAUGUACAACUUUUGAAAAUCAAACGCAUCCAAAAAACUUGCAAAAACAACCAGGAGUACGCAAGAGAACAUCUCAACUGGAUGACAAGAAACUACUAUCCUGUGAAAAAAUCGGGACAAAGUUCGAUUAAUUGGCUGGAUAAAUUGGGACAAACCAUUAACUCCUCAGAAGUGACUCAUAUAAGGCUGAGAGAAUUGUAGAACAUACCCAGGUUCAAAGGGACUCAAAUUUCAAAAUUGAGGCCACAUAAUGAAGUCAAUCAACUCAUUCGCACAUACACUAAUUUUAAAAGUAUGAUAGAUGCUUUGCUCAAGAAACUAUCUUGAAUAGAGUCACUUAACCAGGGCAAUAGUAAGAGAAUAGACAGACUUUUUGCAAUUUAAAUUGCAUGGAAUUCAACUUUCCUAAUGUAUAUAUCCUGAUCUCCAAUGAAUAAAAUAAGUUCAUAAGGAAAUAAGCAAUUUCAAAAUUGUUAGCCUAUUUCCUGUUUUUAAGUUGCAAUAGCUGCACUUAUUUAAUAAGGCAGUGUUUUUAGAGGUGAAGCAGUUACUACUUUGCUGAAUAAAUGGUCUAUAUUGUGCCAAUCAGUAAAUAAGUAGAAUUUAAGCCUUCAAUAAUUCAUCUGUUUUGAAAAGGAGCAGGCAAGGUCCAUUUUAAUAAGCCAUUUUAGAACAUAACUUUAAAAGCUUUAGACAAAACACUUUAUGUUCAAGGUUUUGCAAGAAUUGGAAUGAUGCAAUAGAAACAUCAAAGGGAAAUAGGAAAAAAUCAAUUUAAAGUGAAAGAGAGAAUCGACGAAAGGAAACUCACUCUCUAGCUCUUUGAAACUGUUCAUCCAGAUCCAUUAUGUAUAAUGUAUCCAGAGCAUCAAUUAGUGUUGCUCCAAGACCACCAAAGCUGUUGACCCCAUUCUUAGUCUGUGGCUGUUCACAAAAAUAAUGGGAGAAAUGAAAAGGUAAAAUUAUCAUGUUACUUCUAAGGCCAUAUAAAUAAAAUUCAUAUUGUAUGUAUAUGGAAACUAAAUUCAAACUUUUAAACAAUAAGCUAAGAGUUUGUCGACAAAUGAUAUCUGGCAAGUUCAGGAAUUGAUGCAGAACUCAUCUUAACAUUGGAUUUCAUUAUAAAGGAAGCAUGUACAACCAAAACUGAAAAAACCUAGUUUAUAAAGCAUUGGUGGUUUUCAAAUUGAAACAUUUUCCCUAAGCCUUUCCACGAUCCAGGCAGCACAAGAAAAAGUCCAAACAAUGCCUGUCAAGAUUUACAGUUAAACAUGUACUUAGAAGGAUCCAGCCAAAAAAAAAAAAAAAUCACCCGCUUUUUCCAAGCGGGAGAACAUAACUGUUAUUAUAAAAACAAAAUAAAAGAGAGAGAGAGAGAGAGAGAGGAAGAGAGAGAAUAAAACUAGUCCAGUAAUUCAGUGACAACAAUAUAUAUGAUGUAUCAAAAUUUCUCAUUUUUUGUCCAACAAAGUUCGGUUCUUCUCAGUUGGGUUGGGGUGGUUUGACCACAAAAUGCUAUGUUUACACACAAGACUACCCCUUUUCAUGAAAGCUUCACGGGGACUAGGGCUUUGGUCCAUCUCAGCUCUGCCCAGAAGGGCACUUACAGGCAUUUUAUGACCAGCCUUCAACAGUUUUUGAAAUCAGGCCCCGAUGGGGAAAUGAAGAUAUAAAAAAAACAAUGAAGUAAACUUCUCCACGCUAAAAAUAAGUGAAAGUAUUAGAAUAUAUGGUAUUAGCCAAUUCACUCACAAAAGAAUAAACUAGAGAAAUUUUUUGCAGUUCAGUGCUUUUUAUCAGCAAGCAAUCAUGUUUAGAAUUAAAUUAAAUUCCAAACAUUUCAACCCAUAAUUCAAGUUUCAAUCUUUUUUUCCCCCCGUUUGUGUCAAGUAAUGUUUUUAUUUUUAAUUUACAAACCAUGAUCGACAAGAUGUGUUUGUCGAACAUAAAUUCAGAGGAAAAAGAGUAGUCACUAAUUCUCCAAAAAAGCCACAUGGAAUAGAGAAGUUAACAAUUAAUAUAUCUAAUCCAUGUUAAUUUGCAUUAUCAACAGUAUAUAUCAUUCACUCAAACUUACCUGAAGUUCAUCUUGGCCCCAUGCAUACUUCUCAUACGAACUCCAUGCAUGAAUCAUAGCAUCCUUUACUUUCUGUUUUCGCUGGAUAUCAAUAGGAUCCUCCACAAAUGCCUUGUUUCCAGGGGGCUGUUUAGCUUGUUUUAUGUGAUCAAUUUUUUCAAUUACAUUGGCAGGGUUAUUCUUUAUCUCUUCCAGCUGAAAGAAUAAAUUUUGCAUCAAAACAACAGUUAAGAAUCCCUUAGAAAACUGCCCAUAAAGGUUGUCAGGGUGCUGCUCGUGGCUUAAGAAUUCACUUGUAGCAUUAUUAGUCACAUAAAUAGCAUUGAAGACAGAUAAAGGGAAAUAGAAUAGGCCUUUUGCAUGUAUAUUUCAUUGUAUCAAUCAGAAAUUAUAGGGCCUUUGGCAGAAGUAUUCUUUCUUUUUUACAUAAUAUGCCUGGGAAAAAGAAAUAAGCAUGCCACAACUGGGAGAAAAAUAGGUUUGUUUCAGGUUAAUAGAUCAAAACACCCAGAGAUCUGUUGAUCAUGAACAAUAGUACAACAAUAGCCAAGAUGUACCCAACCCCUCCUCUCCUCACCCCCAAUCUCCCACCACCCAUCCUCCUUCGUCCCUCUUUUAUCCAACUCCGGAAGAAGCAGAAAAAGGGAAAAAGAAAAGAGUAGAAGAGAAAGAUAAGAGAAUGCUAAGGUUGACAACUCCUACCAUAUUUCGCAAUUGAGUAACUUCUUCAUUUAACUCGGAAAGUUCAACCUGCGAUACAAAAGAAUUUUGUUAUGCAAACACAUUUCAGUAAAUUGAAAAAAAAAAAAACUUUGACAGAGCAAAAAAGUUUACGAUAAAUUCAUUUCUGAAUAUAUAUUGUAUAUAUCCACCAAAGAACUUAUGCUCACACAUAAAAUAAAUGAUAUAAGAACUUGCUUGAUGAACAUGGCCACAAUAGGGCAUUGUGUCAUUUUGUAGUGUGCUAAGUAAAUACAUUUUAAUCAAGAUGUUACAAAUAAAAUAUAGGACAGGGAGGAAAAGAAUACAAAAGUAAACUUCUCAUUCUAUUUCUCACUCCCUCUUUUAUAUUCCUCUUCAUCUUGUUACUCUGUAAUCCUCAUCCAAACCAACUAAUCUCUUUGAAAAUAACAUUUAGCUACUUUGUUACUUUAUUUACUUUAUUGGUUAAUGCCUAUAAAAUUAUAAAAUCAUGCUACAUAUGUGGUGGAGUUUUGACAAAUUACUUGUAAUGGAAUCAAGCAUCCUGUUUGCAACUCAAGGCUGACAUGUUCAAGAAACAACUUGGGGCCUAGCUUCUCCUAGCCCUCACUGUUUUUCUUACGUGUAUCCAUAUUAUCAAUUCUAGCUCGGUCUUCUCCUUGUUCUCCUUGGUUGCUUUUCGUGAAUACCUCAUUUGUAAUUCAGAUCAAACUCUAACAUGAUUUUCACUUUUAGAGUAAAAUAUAUGGAUGUAAUCUACUCAUGUCAACAACAAAUGAAUGACCAGGACAAUAAAUCCAUCACCUGUUCACCCAUUUAUUGUAAAUUCAAUUAUCCGUCUUGAUGUGCGAGAAGGGUGGUAAAUGAUCCACCCAAUAGGUUCCACAACUUCUCAUUGUGCAAGACGUACAAAUCAGUGUAGGUCUUUUCAAGGACUGUUGCCCCCUCUCAACUUCAGCCUUCCUCAAUCUUUUUUAACAACUCAAUGGACCCCUCAAAAUUGUUUAAUCAUCAUUUUUCUUUGUUAAUCUCAAUUGGAAGGGGGUGUUGAGAUGGAGUAUAAAAGCUGGUUUGGCCUUCUAGGGGAGUGAUAGAUGACUGGGUAUAUUUUUGUAGAGCACAGAAAAUUUAAGUUUUUGCUUACUCAGUGGACAACCGAUCAACUUUACUGUAAUGAUUCUUUAUCUUUAGUAAGUUUUCCAGUUUCUUACCAAAAGAGUAAUAAUUUAAAUAAAUCUACUUCCUACCUUAGGUGCUGGAAGCCUAUAUUCUUGAUGUGGAUGCUUUGGUCUUCAUUGGCCAUCGAAGUUCAAGUGAGUCAAGUACUUAUCUUGGUAAUUUCUCAUUUCAGAACGGAUCUUGAAAAUGAACUAAACAAAUUACCUAAAACUUCAUUAGUCUGUAACUGGAUGCACUCUCAAUUCGUCAGUCAAUAUUUUUCUCAUUUUACUUAUAUUCUAAUAUAUAGUAAUACGACCUCCCGCAUUGGUAACUACGGCAUUGGUAACUACAAUUCUAGCUACAAUUGGCUUCUACUCUUUCUAUCAUAAAAAAUUGCACUGAACUCUUAACAGAUAACACAGUUUCCUUCAAUGUAAAGUAUUCUUAGAUCCAGGUUCCAGCAUAAAUACCGGAUAUCGUCAGCUCUAACUGUCUAUUCUUGCUCAAUACUCACGCAUAAAUGCUCAAAAUGAGAUCCUAGAACCACCAAGUUCAAUGGUUAAUUUAAUCAAACUUCAGCUCGAUUUAAGAGAAUAUCAAACAAUCUACAUUCCUCGCAAUGAUGGAACGGAGACCAUUGAUUCUGAAGAAUCAAUAUAGAUUCCAAACUAAGAUCAUUGCAUAAACUAAAUAUCCAAUGCCAUUAUCAUCAUGUAAUUAACAAAUAUUAAACAACCAAACAACAUUCACAAUUUUUAUAUUAAAGAAUUUAUAAAAAAAAAUACCUCGUGUUCUCUAACAAGAGUCUGGCGAUCCCAAACGACCAGUGUAACAGAAACAAACACGAUCAAAAGCAUAGCCAAACGCUUCGGUCUCUUCAGGUAAUACGCCGGAUUACAGUAUCUCAAUUUGCCACUUGAUGAUGAUGAUGAUGAUGAUCUAUUCCUCGCCAUCUGAUUGAUUAAAUUAGAUCUAACAACAAAAGCUGAACUCCUAAAUCAACUAUUUUAUUUUAUUUAUUUUUAAUUUAAUCCAUUAUAGAUAAAGAUUUGUCAAAACGGAAGCAUUUGGAGCAAACGAGCGAGGCUGAUCUGAGAGAAGAACGUAAACGGGAACCAAAACGUUUCGAGACGAUCUUUUUGCUCGAAAAACGUUUCGAGGAUUUGAUUGUGUUUGUAUGAAAUGUUUGAUGGGAGAGAAAGAUAGGCGAACGAGUGUUUGUGAAGAAAGAAACACGGGAGAAUUUUACAAAGUGGUGUUUGAUUGAAGACCAAUUGACAGUUGACAUGUCAGCAGCCGAAGACUAAGUCGCAAUUCUUAUUCUUCCUUUGUUUCUAUUUCUGUGUCAGUCAAGUCAAUGGUUAAUUUUUUUUUAUUUUUUAUUUUUUGGAUUUAAAAAGUUUAUUGUUCAUUUUAAUUUUAAUAAAAUGAUACUUGCACGCGCGUGUUUUAUGUAUCAAGUAGAUUUUUGAAUCAAUCUCGUUGUUAUAUUAUGAAUCCAAGAAAUCUAGGUACCGUUUGGGUAUUGUUUUCUGAUUACUGCUUUCAUAAAAUAAAAAUAGAUUGAAAAUAUUAUUUUUAAAAUUUUAAAAUGUGUAUGGCAUAAUUUUUAAAAUUAACCUUGAAAAUGAGAAAUGUAAAUCAAGCCCGGUAGGAGUAUUUUAAAGAAUUAUUAUUAGAAUAAUUUCAUAAAAUUAAUAUUAAGUAAUGUAUAAUCAUUUUUAUUAUUUAAUUAGUUUGAUUAUU
Molecule: long non-coding RNA, 25969 nt
Filed under: Citrus sinensis (sweet orange)
Lineage: Eukaryota; Viridiplantae; Streptophyta; Magnoliopsida; Sapindales; Rutaceae
Description: long non-coding RNA (CSIN_LNC000188)
Source: RNAcentral